RNAcentral lists this ribosomal RNA (483 nucleotides) under uncultured bacterium. RNAcentral's name for it is "partial 16S ribosomal RNA". It matches the Rfam family "Bacterial small subunit ribosomal RNA", at positions 30 to 506 of the family's 1533-position model. The record is from RNAcentral.
AUUGAACGCUGGCGGCAGGCCUAACACAUGCAAGUCGAGCGGAUGAAGGGAGCUUGCUCCUGGAUUCAGCGGCGGACGGGUGAGUAAUGCCUAGGAAUCUGCCUGGUAGGGGGGGAUAACGUCCGGAAACGGGUGCUAAUACCGCUUACGUCCUGAGGGAGAAAGUGGGGGAUCUUCGGACUUCUCGCUAUCAGAUGAGCCUAGGUGGGAUUAGCUAGUUGGUGGGGUAAAGGCCUACCAAGCCGAGGAUCCGUAACUGGUCUGAGAGGAUGAUCAGUCACACUGGAACUGAGACACGGUCCAGACUCCUACGGGAGGCAGCAGUGGGGAAUAUUGGACAAGGGGCGAAAGCCUGAUCCAGCCAUGCCGCGUGUGUGAAGAAGGUCUUCGGAUUGUAAAGCACUUUAAGUUGGGAGGAGGGGCAGUAAGUUAAUACCUUGCUGUUUUGACGUUACCAACAGAAUAAGCACCGGCUAACUUCGU